CUCUGAACCCAGCAUUCUGCCUGGAGAAGCCCAAGCUUUAAUCAACUGUUUAUAGCAGUGAGAGUGGAAUUCUUAUGGAAAGGAAGUACUACAGAGUGUGCCAAAGUUCUGUUUCCCCUUUGACGUUGAAAGGGCAUCUCAAAAUCAAGUUGGACAGCACUU
This is a long non-coding RNA of Carlito syrichta (Philippine tarsier), 162 nucleotides long. RefSeq lists it as uncharacterized. The transcript is spliced from 3 exons. Lineage: Eukaryota; Metazoa; Chordata; Mammalia; Primates; Tarsiidae. The record is from RefSeq and is a predicted model, not a curated record.